GUUGAAGUUGCCUAAACGGAAUUUGCCAUGGCUGCAGCUGAGACGAUUAUCAACGGCGAUUCGACAAACUGUAGAAGAUGAAGGCGACUGGUUUUAUUCAUCGGAAUGGUGGGGCACAACUUCCGGUGGUGGCGACACAGUUUUCCGAUCAAUUUCCGAUAAAGGAAACGGCGUCGUUUCUGUCGUAGCUUACCCUUCUUCCAAACCAGAAAACUGUUAUUGGGGGAAAACAGAGAAUUGGCUUCAAAAGAGGUAUGAAAAGAUGUAUCCAAGAGAUGAACAGGAAGGGAAUUUCAGGAUUCUUGGUUACCAAUGGCGGAAUCUUCACUUUAAUGAGGAGACUCG
Molecule: unclassified non-coding RNA, 345 nt
Filed under: Hevea brasiliensis (rubber tree)
Lineage: Eukaryota; Viridiplantae; Streptophyta; Magnoliopsida; Malpighiales; Euphorbiaceae
Source: RNAcentral